GACGAACGCUGGCGGCAUGCCUAACACAUGCAAGUCGAGCGAGUUGAUUCCUUCGGGAUGAAGCUAGCGGCGGACGGGUGGGUAACACGUGGGCAACCUGCCUCAUAGAGGGGAAUAGCCUCCCGAAAGGGAGAUUAAUACCGCAUAAGAUUGUAGUACCGCAUGGUACAGCAAUUAAAGGAGCAAUCCGCUAUGAGAUGGGCCCGCGGCGCAUUAGCUAGUUGGUGAGGUAACGGCUCACCAAGGCGACGAUGCGUAGCCGACCUGAGAGGGUGAUCGGCCACAUUGGGACUGAGACACGGCCCAGACUCCUACGGGAGGCAGCAGUGGGGAAUAUUGCACAAUGGGGGAAACCCUGAUGCAGCAAUGCCGCGUGAGUGAUGACGGCCUUCGGGUUGUAAAGCUCUGUCUUCGGGGACGAUAAUGACGGUACCUAAGGAGGAAGCCACGGCUAACUACGUGCCAGCCGCCGCUGUAA
RNAcentral lists this ribosomal RNA (478 nucleotides) under uncultured bacterium. RNAcentral's name for it is "partial 16S ribosomal RNA". It matches the Rfam family "Bacterial small subunit ribosomal RNA", at positions 28 to 523 of the family's 1533-position model. The record is from RNAcentral.